GAUGAACGCUGGCGGCGUGCCUAAUACAUGCAAGUCGAGCGAACAGAUGAGGAGCUUGCUCCUCUGACGUUAGCGGCGGACGGGUGAGUAACACGUGGAUAACCUACCUAUAAGACUGGGAUAACUUCGGGAAACCGGAGCUAAUACCGGAUAAUAUAUUGAACCGCAUGGUUCAAUAGUGAAAGACGGUUUUGCUGUCACUUAUAGAUGGAUCCGCGCCGCAUUAGCUAGUUGGUAAGGUAACGGCUUACCAAGGCAACGAUGCGUAGCCGACCUGAGAGGGGGAUCGGCCACACUGGAACUGAGACCGGGUCCAGACUCCUACGGGAGGCAGCAGUAGGGAAUCUUCCGCAAUGGGCGAAAGCCUGACGGAGCAACGCCGCGUGAGUGAUGAAGGUCUUCGGAUCGUAAAACUCUGUUAUUAGGGAAGAACAAAUGUGUAAGUAACUAUGCACGUCUUGACGGUACCUAAUCAGAAAGCCACGGCUAACUACGUG
RNAcentral lists this ribosomal RNA (497 nucleotides) under uncultured bacterium. RNAcentral's name for it is "partial 16S ribosomal RNA". It matches the Rfam family "Bacterial small subunit ribosomal RNA", at positions 28 to 507 of the family's 1533-position model. The record is from RNAcentral.